GUGUCUUUUAUACUGAUAACAAGUUCAAACAGGUGCCAUUAAUACAGGUAAUGAAUGAGUGGAGGACAGAGGAGCCUCUUAAAGAAAAAGUUACAGGUCUGUGAGAGCUAGAAAUCUUUCUUGUUUGUAGGUGACCAAAUACUUAUUUUCCACCAUAAUUUGCAAAUAAAUUCAUUAAAAAUCCUACAAUGUGAUUUUCUGGAUUUUUUCUCAUUUUGUCUGUCAUAGUUGAAGUGUACCUAUGAUGAAAAUGACAGGCCUCUCUCAUCUUUUUAAGUGGGAGAACUUGCACAAUUGGUGGCUGACUAAAUACUUUUUUUGCCCCACUGUAUUGUCUACUGCAUUUAGAGAACAAAGCAAUAUGGAUUAAUUUAGUUGGGAUUCGUUGUAAUAACGAUUUAAUCCAGAAGUAUGGUUUUUUUUGUCUGAAGGAAGAAACACUUAAUAAAAUAAUCACCAUAGUUACCGUUGGACUAAUUAAUUUGGAUUCUACUGGAUGGCCUAAAGAGUAAUAAAGUAAUGACUGAACUAAAUGAAUAUGCUAAACUGGUCCCCCAGUGUGUCGACUCAGUUUCCUGCUCUGUGGAUUCAGACCUCUCCUUUUGUCCUCUGCUCUCUGAGCCACACAUUUAGAAGAAGACAUUGUUUUGUAAGCACGACUAACGGCAGUCGCUGUCAAAAAAACACCUUCCACGUGAUCACCUUAUCUCAGCUGUCAUUCGUUGGCCGAAGCACACGCUUUUGAACAACGUCACAACUGCAGCCAAUCGCAGGAAACAAGGAAAUGUUUCUUUCGCGCUCUGUCCCGAACAUGAGCAAUGCAACAUUCUGCCCGUUGAUGCA
Long non-coding RNA from Oncorhynchus mykiss (rainbow trout), 843 nucleotides. The record is from Ensembl. Lineage: Eukaryota; Metazoa; Chordata; Actinopteri; Salmoniformes; Salmonidae.